UNUCCAAAGGAAGAGCUGUUAAGAUGAUUGU
RNAcentral lists this non-coding RNA (31 nucleotides) under Mus musculus (house mouse). The record is from RNAcentral. Lineage: Eukaryota; Metazoa; Chordata; Mammalia; Rodentia; Muridae.